CGGUAUAAAGGUAAAACGGGUCGUCUCCAUACCCCGUCCGGUAUGAGUACCAAAUUACCAAGUCUCGAUACCCCAUCCGGUAUAAGACAACAUUCGUGGUAGGGUUCUCAAUGGACCUAAUUUGUCCACCAUCUCUCAGGAUAUCCAGUGAGGCUGUCGUUUCAUCCAUUCAAUUAAUCACACAAAUUUUCGUUUACCUUGAACUGCUAGUUCUCCAAUUCAACCGUAACCAUACAAAACAAACAAUACAUGCAUUCAAAACUAUAAAAUCAAUCAAUCAAGUACUAUUACGCAUUUAAACCGUAGAAUAAAUCAAACAGAAUCAGCAAUGAAUAGUUUCCGGUUCUACCUCCAUUAGUAAUCCGUUAUUAAUUAUGAAUAUUUCCUACAUUUCAUAAUUUACCGAAUUAUCAUUAAUU
Molecule: long non-coding RNA, 419 nt
Filed under: Carica papaya (papaya)
Lineage: Eukaryota; Viridiplantae; Streptophyta; Magnoliopsida; Brassicales; Caricaceae
Description: long non-coding RNA (CPAP_LNC012705)
Source: RNAcentral